Molecule: long non-coding RNA, 251 nt
Organism: Erigeron canadensis
Lineage: Eukaryota; Viridiplantae; Streptophyta; Magnoliopsida; Asterales; Asteraceae
Exons: 3
Source: RefSeq, a predicted model, not a curated record
UGAGAGGGUAUUGAAUCACGAAAGAAACGGCCCAACCCAUGGGUACGAGUCCUUAGAGCCUUGAACAAAGAAAGAACAUCUCACAAGCCAUUGGACUGGCCCCUUCUUUUGCAAGACAAAGAGGUUGAAGGUCUUCAACUUUUAAAAGAUGAUUAGUGGUUCAAAGUUUCGAUUGUUCAUGAUGCUCUAGCCAUCAACGUUGGUGAUCAAAUUGAGAGUUGAAGAGUUGAAGCCGGUACUCAUUAUCAACG